Molecule: ribosomal RNA, 481 nt
Filed under: uncultured bacterium
Lineage: Bacteria
Description: partial 16S ribosomal RNA
Rfam family: Bacterial small subunit ribosomal RNA
Source: RNAcentral
GAUGAACGCUGGCGGCGUGCCUAACACAUGCAAGUCGAACGGAGAUUACGGACGGAAGUUUUCGGAUGGAAGCCUGUAAUUCUUAGUGGCGGACGGGUGAGUAACGCGUGGGCAACCUGCCCUAUACAGGGGGAUAGCAGCUGGAAACGGCUGGUAAGACCGCAUAAGUCGGUUAAAUCGCAUGAUUUGAUCGGGAAAUGAGCAAUCAGGUAUAGGAUGGGCCCGCGUCCGAUUAGCCAGUUGGCAGGGUAAAAGCCUACCAAAGCGACGAUCGGUAGCCGGACUGAGAGGUCGGACGGCCACAUUGGGGCUGAGACACGGCCCAAACUCCUACGGGAGGCAGCAGUGGGGGAUAUUGCACAAUGGAGGAAACUCUGAUGCAGCGACGCCGCGUGAGUGAAGAAGUAUUUCGGUAUGUAAAGCUCUAUCAGCAGGGAAGAUGAUGACGGUACCUGACUAAGAAGCCCCGGCUAACUACGUG